UACGUAGGGGGCAAGCGUUGUCCGGAAUCAUUGGGCGUAAAGAGCGUGUAGGCGGCUCGGUAAGUCCGCUCUGAAAAGCCCGGGGGCUCAACCCCGGGGAGGCGGGCGGAUACUGUCGGGCUAGAGUCCGGAAGAGGCGAGUGGAAUUCCUGGUGUAGCGGUGAAAUGCGCAGAUAUCAGGAAGAACACCCGUGGCUAAGGCGGCUCUCUAGUACGGUACUGACGCUGAGACGCGAAAAGCGUGGGGAGCGAACAGG
This 257-nucleotide ribosomal RNA is filed under the name uncultured bacterium. RNAcentral's name for it is "partial 16S ribosomal RNA". It matches the Rfam family "Bacterial small subunit ribosomal RNA", at positions 524 to 776 of the family's 1533-position model. The record is from RNAcentral.